UGGUUAGUGGCGAAAGGGUGCGGAACGGUUAGGUAACGUACCCCGUACUCCGGGAUAGCGGUCUGAAAGGGGCAUUAAUACCGGAUGAUGUCCUCGGUUUAAUAUCGAGGACCAAAGAUUUAUCGGUGCGGGAGCGGCCUAACCCCUAUCAGCUAGUUGGUGAGGUAACGGCUCACCAAGGCGACGACGGGUAGCGGGACUGAGAGGUUGGCCCGCCACAUCGGGACUGGGACACUGCCCGGACCUCCACGGAGGGCUGCAGUAACGAAUAUUGGGCAAUGGGCGAAAGCCUGACCCAGCAACGCCGCGUGUAGGAUGAAGCCCCUCGGGGUGUAAACUACUGUCAGAGACUAGAAAGCUACGGUUGAUCAGUCUCAGAGGAAGUCACGGCUAACUUCGUGCCAGCAGCCGCGGUAAUACGAAGGUGGCUAGCGUUGUUCGAAAUCAUUGGGCUUAAAGGGAGCGCAGGCGGAGCUGAAAGUGUCUUGUGAAAUCCCACGGCUUACCCGUGGAAUGGCAGGGCAAACUACAGUUCUUGAGGCAAGUAGGGGUGCAUGGAACCUCUUGGUGGAGCGGUGGAAUGCGUAGAUAUCAGGA
This 597-nucleotide ribosomal RNA is filed under the name uncultured organism. Its description in RNAcentral is "bacterial SSU rRNA". It matches the Rfam family "Bacterial small subunit ribosomal RNA", at positions 89 to 702 of the family's 1533-position model. The record is from RNAcentral.